CUUGAUCCAUAGAGGCCGUUUAAGAUUGUCCUGAUAUCAAUGUUAGCCAUACCUCAUCUAAAGGUAUAGCGAUCUUUGUUCUUUAGUAAGUAUGACCACUCUUCGUUACCGUAUCUAUGAAAAAGAGAGAUUUGUCCAGUAAUGGUUGUUAAAUCAAAAAAGAUUCUCACCCAUUUUCAGAUUCUGGGUAGUUUCAACAAUCAUUCAUACCUCGUUUGCGUGUGAUCUUAAACGCCAUCUUGAAUGUGCAAAAAAAAAGAACGGUGGAGAAUCAUAUAACGGAUAACUUCACUCCUUUCUCCAUUAGACUGGCAUGGCGGCACCGCUCAGAACCACCAUGGAAACAAUCCGGUCUGGUCUGUUACUGUAACCAACCGUUUCAUCGAAAAGCCCAACAGCAUCUACUCCUUACCUUGUGAUACCAAUCAUCAUUGAAGUCUAAGAUACAAGAUUCCUCUUCUCUGCAAUUUCGAAGAGAUUGCAUUAGCAUACAUGUAGAUUAAUGCAUUAGCUAACUCAAUGUUCUUAUUAAACCCUCUUAGAGAAAGCAGCUACACUAAGCUUGUGAAAGUGUAAUAACUUGGCACAGAGCCUUGUGAUUUAAACCUCUGAAACAGAAGCAGAGCUUUGCUGCUGUCUGAUCGCUCAGGUUCCGAUAUCAAAGUGAUCCGUGUGAUCAAAUUUCUAUCUUCCAUCUUGUGGAAAUAGCUUUUUAUCCGCACCUGCAAUACAAGUCCCAAAAUAGAGCUCAUUUCCAGGAGGUACUUAGAGUGUUAUCCCAAAAAAUCAAACAAGUAGCGUAGAGAUUUAUUAGCGCAUUGUCAAUAUAACAAAAACCUUCAGGUUUCUACAAGACAGUGAGUUUGGCACGAGAGUGUGAAUUCAUUCGGGUCAGUUCCUUUCCUCAUAAAGUCGCUUAAACACUACCAAGCACGUGAGUUAUGAAUGGAAGAAGUGUACCUUUUGAUCAAUGCGGUCCAAGCCACUACGUCUCUCUAAGUCAUGUAGUCCAACAGUGAGCGUGAUUCUUUCACUUAGCGUUUUUUCAAAGUACGAAAGAAUGAGAUUUGGGGACAAAAUGUGACGCUUCUUGGGUCUAUAAGGAGAGUCAGAGUUUUGAUUCGACUCUUCGCAGGCGUUACAUAGAGAGCUUCUGACAAAUUUUGGGAUUGGUUUAAAUGGUUUAUUGUUUUUAACAUAAGAGCAUCUCAGCUUAAUCUAUUUCUUACCCUAAAUCUUCAAUGGCUUACUCUAUUUUUUACUCUAAAAUAGAAUAAUUUUAUAAUAGAAUUUGAAUUUACUACAAUGAUAGUUUAUUUUAGAGUAGAAAAUAGAGUGAUAAGAAAAUAAAUAAUAAGUUACUCUAUAUUUAGAUAGUAAACCAAUUUUUCAACUUUAUUAUAGAAUGAAAAAAUAAAGUACUAUGGUAGCAUUUUUACUUGAAAUAUUUUAGAAUAAAAAAUAGAGUGGAGUUGGAGAUGCCCUAAGUGGAUUUUCGUAGUCCAUCUCUAAUAAGUUUCUUCGGUUCAUCAUCAGAGACGAAAUCGAUCUCGAUUUAGAAAGAAUGGGUUCAACUGGUUAGAAAGAGUAUGUUCAUCUGGUUAGAAAUUUCUAACCAAAGGAAUUCAACUAGGUAGAAAUAUAUUAACAACUAAUACUGAACAACUGGUUAAGACGGCGUUUUAUCUUAAAAGUUUUUCAUAUGAUGAGGAAAGAUUACAAUAAUCAAUUGUAGCACACUAACCAAAGAAAUUCAACUGAAAUGAAUAAGUUCCCAACAAAAUACUAGUUUAAUUUGACCAUUUUUCUGGUAAAUUUUUAACUCGGAAAUAUACUCAAACCGAUUGCGUCGAGUUCAACUCAACUAUUACAAAACGAGUUUACUUGGACCAAUUUUAGGCAAACUUUCAACUCGAUGAGGUACUUCAACAGAUUAGGGUGAAUUUGACUCAGCUUCUUCUGCCAGGUGCUAGAGACUUAGACCAUGUUUAUUGCGGAGUUCUUAGAAUGAAGUUCUUAGCGUAAUAUAAGAACCGUUUCUUAACUUUAACUAAGGAAAACUAACAACCGUCUCUUAAAACUCUUAUUUAAAAGCUCGUUCUUAGUUUUUCUUAGUUAAAAGUUAAGAGACGAUUCUUAUAUUAUGGUAAGAAAUACACCCUAAGAACUCCCCAAUAAACAUGCCCUUCGAUUUGCCGAGAUGCUCCAGCCAAUUAAGAUAAGUUUGAAUUGGGUUCUUUAAAGAGGUGCUCGAAACAACUAAAUUGCAACUCCGUAAGGUGCUCCAACCAAUUAAGCUAAAUUGGAUUCAGCUUCUUCAGUGAGGUGCUUGAACCAACUAAAGUGACUUCAACUCGAGAAGGUGCUCCGACCACUCAAGUGAGUUCAUCUCAGCUUAUGCAUGUAGAUAUACAUAUAUAUACAUACAUAUUUGUAUAGUUGCAUCUGUGAAAGCUGUCUACAUACUUCUAAAGAGGAUCAAGUCAUUCGUAAUUUAUUUUUUGGCGCUAAAAGCAUUUUCACAUGAAGUUUUUCUUAAGAUUCAUUAAAUACUAGAAUCACGACACUGGUCCACCUGAAGAUGUCUCAGAUUUAUAGAUGUUUGGUUUGACAACUUAGUGAUCUCGUAGGGUCAUUCCCAAUUUAUACCAAGUUUACCACAUUCUAAUCAACACAAUAAUAGCACAAGGUUCUCUCCUGGUGUUGACACAUCAGACUUUUAGAGUCUUGAGAGUCUUACAUGUCAUUAAUUGAAAAAACUUGAAGAACCAAUCAACUUAUUUCGUUUCUACACGUCAUUUGUCUACUGUUUCGUUUUUGUUUGUGUUAACCAUUUUCGAUGUUUUAGGUUAGGGUUCGCAAAAAGAGAAGUGAUAGAGAGUUAAAUCCAAGUCAUGACCCGAGGUUCUUCUUCUUCUUCAUCUGUGUAUCACGAAGCUAUAGCCCUAGCCCAUAUUCUUCUUCGUCUUUCUCCCAGGGAGGUUUCCAUGAAGCCUAUGAGGAAUUAUGAUUAAUGAAUGGAAGAAGGGAAAGUCCCACAUCGGGGAGAACUGGAACAAAUGAGGAGUAUAUAUAUGUACUUACUCUAACUCAUGUUCAAAUGGCGCACAUGAGAGGAUAGGCUCGCCCCCCACACGCGCGCCGCCGCCGCCGUCCGUCCGGCCGGCUCGGCUCGGCGUGGGCGUGGGCUUGGGCUUGGGCGGAGGGCCUUUGGCCCGAUAAGAAGUAUUCUUUUUGGACCAAGUUAAGCUCAACGGUUUGCCAUUUAUUUCGAGAAAAAACAGCAUACAAUUUUAUUUAAAACGACAAGUAGUUUGUCUA
Molecule: long non-coding RNA, 3321 nt
Organism: Brassica rapa (field mustard)
Lineage: Eukaryota; Viridiplantae; Streptophyta; Magnoliopsida; Brassicales; Brassicaceae
Source: RefSeq, a predicted model, not a curated record